AAGCGCAGACACGGGGGCCGUAUGGCUGAGAGGAAGCAAGCGCUUCAACCGUAUGAACGUAUACCGGGUAAUGCCGGCGCACGGACGUCUCUCUUUUCCCGUG
Molecule: non-coding RNA, 103 nt
Filed under: Bifidobacterium pseudocatenulatum
Lineage: Bacteria; Bacillati; Actinomycetota; Actinomycetes; Bifidobacteriales; Bifidobacteriaceae
Description: TPP sequence
Rfam family: TPP riboswitch aptamer (THI element)
About the family: Vitamin B(1) in its active form thiamin pyrophosphate (TPP) is an essential coenzyme that is synthesised by coupling of pyrimidine and thiazole moieties in bacteria. The previously detected thiamin-regulatory element, thi box was extended, resulting in a new, highly conserved RNA secondary structure, the THI element, which is widely distributed in eubacteria and also occurs in some archaea. Analysis of operon structures identified a large number of new candidate thiamin-regulated genes, mostly transporters, in various prokaryotic organisms.
Source: RNAcentral